RNAcentral lists this unclassified non-coding RNA (314 nucleotides) under plant metagenome. Its description in RNAcentral is "partial contains 5.8S ribosomal RNA, internal transcribed spacer 2, and large subunit ribosomal RNA". The stretch from base 1 to 105 matches the Rfam family "5.8S ribosomal RNA", at positions 50 to 154 of the family's 154-position model. The record is from RNAcentral.
GAAAUGCGAUAAUUAAUGUGAAUUGCAGAAUUCAGUGAAUCAUCGAGUCUUUGAACGCACAUUGCGCCCCCUGGUAUUCCGGGGGGCAUGCCUGUCCGAGCGUCAUUGCUGCCCUCAAGCACGGCUUGUGUGUUGGGCUUCCGUCCCUGGCAACGGAGACGGGCCCAAAAGGCAGUGGCGGCACCAUGUCUGGUCCUCGAGCGUAUGGGGCUUUGUCACCCGCUCCCGUAGGUCCAGCUGGCAGCUAGCCUCGCAACCAAUCUUUUUAACCAGGUUGACCUCGGAUCAGGUAGGGAUACCCGCUGAACUUAAGC